Hyla sarda is the source of this 1784-nucleotide RNA transcript. It is a transcript of the gene named GA binding protein transcription factor subunit beta 2, with no coding region annotated. The record is from RefSeq and is a predicted model, not a curated record. NCBI's taxonomy places the organism in Eukaryota, Metazoa, Chordata, Amphibia, Anura, Hylidae. The transcript is spliced from 10 exons.
GUAUCGCCGCCAUCUUGCUGGGACCCAAACUUUUGGAAUCGAUGAAAUAUUAGGAUAAACGUGACGGAGCUUCACCGGAGGGGGCGUACGGAGGAGGAACAGGGCCGACGAGCCGGCUGUGAGCGCUGACAGGCCCGGCGAUGGCGUUGGACCUGGGGAAAAGACUCCUAGAGGCCGCCCGCAGCGGAGAAGAUGACGAAGUGCGGCAGCUGAUGCAGAAUGGGGCGCCAUUCACUACCGACUGGCUGGGAACGUCUCCUCUCCAUCUUGCCGCUCAGUACGGUCACUUCUCCACGGUUAAAGUUCUACUUCAGGCUGGGAUCAGCCGAGACGCUCGUACAAAGGUGGACAGGACUCCCCUGCACAUGGCGGCCACUGAGGGACACGCUCUUAUCGUGGAUCUGCUGAUCAAGAACGGAGCCAACAUCAAUGCCAAGGACAUGCUAGAAAUGACGGCGUUGCACUGGGCCACGGAGCACAACCACCAGGACGUGGCGGACCUGCUCAUAAAGAACGGCGCCGACGUCAACAUCCAGAGCAAGUUUGGGAAAACGCCAUUUGAUAUUGCCCUUGACCGAAACUACCCCGAGCUCCUCAUUACCUUACAGGAAACCAUGCAAGGGCAGGGACACAUCCUUAUGCAAUCAGCAAGGGCCAACACGGUCAGUGUCUCAUCUCCACAGAUCAUCCUGGCACCCAGUCUGAUGUCUACAUCGGGUGUGACCACUUCCACAGCUGGCAACAGUGCAGGCACCUUUAGAAUUACUGACUCCAAUUCUGUGCUGGCCACGCUGGCGGCACUGGCAGAGGCCUCAACUCCUAUUUCUGGUACUGCCACAGGUUCCUCUACCGAACUUGUGACAGUGGAUUCUAUGGGCAAUCCUGUUGGUCAGAUUAUGGAGAAUGGAGGCCAGAGGGUGAUAACCAUUGUGACGGAUGGCGUACAGCUUGGUAACUUGCAUGGUGGGUUUACUGGAGAUCACAUGCAGCAUCCCCUUCUAGUGACUAUCCAGAAUGGACAGCAAGUUGUUGCCAUCCCUGGAGAAGACGUAAUAGAAGAAGUUGUUGUGGAAGAAGAAGUUCCCCCUGCCAAAAAACCUCGCACAGAACCUGUAGAAAGUGCCACCAAAGAGAAUACGGACACUCACCAUCAGGAGGACACCAGGAAACUAUUACAACAGCAGUUACAUGAAGCAAACGUCCGCGCGCAGGAAUACAGGCAGCAGCUCAUGGAGAAGGAGCAGGAGGCCGAGGAAUACAGAGUCAAGCUAGAAAACCUGGCCCGACAGCAUCUAAAUGGGGACAGCUUCAUGGUGGUGGAGGAUGGUGACACCAUCAUCAUCUCCACCGAGGAGUUACAGGGCACAGAAAUGACUGAGAUAGAGACAGUGGAACAUCACUGCGACAUUCCCAUGGAAAGUGUCGUCAUGUGACCAAGCCUCUUAUCGUUUUAGCAGGUUGGCGAACUUUUAUCAGGCAAGAAGAGUCUCCCGAGUGUUUGACGUCGCCUGAGAAAAAUUGAGCAGAGAAGUCGAGAGCGGCGCUAACUGCAACACUGAGCGAGAUGGACUUAUAUAUUCGUGGCGGUAAAAUCUACAUCGUUUUAUAGCUGAAAUUUUGGAGGUAAAUCUCCCACAAUAAGGCUAUGUUCACACAGUGGAAUCCACUCAAAUUCCAUUGCAGCGGAGUUCUGUUGGUUUUUAAUGGGAUUCUGCUGCAUCAUGCACAUGGCUGAAUUUCCAUAGUGGAAACAUCUGCUGUGAAAUUCCGGUUCCAGCCGCCGC